RNAcentral lists this long non-coding RNA (723 nucleotides) under Marmota monax (woodchuck). The record is from RNAcentral. Lineage: Eukaryota; Metazoa; Chordata; Mammalia; Rodentia; Sciuridae.
CAGGAAAAGUUUUCCUCUAUUGAAGAGCUCCAGCAAAUAAGUGCUGGAGGAAUGAGAAGAUGAGAAAAUCUCCAUUUUACAAACUUGAAUGAAAGAGUGGAUCUAAGAAGCCACCUUUAAUGGCUGCCAAAACCAUUAUGUGAAGACUGAUGAGAAACUUGACAAUGGAGGGAUCGGACAGACACCACCCAAACCCACUUAUCAGUCCUAACAUCAGUAAACAUGGACAAUCAGGAAUCCUGGGACUCCAAACAGGUGAUAUAAUGACACAGUACCUAGCACAUGAGGCUUACCGUACACGAAGAGAAAUCAACGCUUUGAUCUAACUACAUCUUUAUAGUAAAUGGGAAUUAAAGAAGAAGUUAAAUGAUUCCAUAAAAGAGCAAUCAGCAAAUCUAUAAUUUGGGGCAUUCUGUAAGUCAAAUGAUGAAUCUUUUUUGCAGCAUACAGAUAACAUAAAUAUUUUUGUUGAAGUAGGAAAAAGGGAACUUUUGUGGAUCCCAAAGACUUAGGAAACCACUAACCAAAUGCAAUGGAUGGACCUCAAUGGAUCCUGAUUUGAUUGAAAUGUGAAAAUGCCUGUUGGAGACAAUUAGGUAAAUCUGAUGUGGCUUAUUAAUUAGGUGAUUUUAUACAAUUAUUAAUUUUAUAAUGUGAUAAUGAUCUUAUCAUUCUGUAAGAAACUCUUAUCUACUAAUGACAUGUAAUGGACUAAUUAGAAUU